GUAUACUUCCUUCGUGCCAUAAAAACCAAACUAGUACUGAAUGUGACACAUUCUAGUACUACAAAUCUGAUCAUACCUCUGUCCAGAUCUAUUAUAUUAUAAUAUGUCAUAUUCAGUUCUAGAUUCGUUUUUUAUGGGACGGAGGGAGUA
RNAcentral lists this unclassified non-coding RNA (150 nucleotides) under Oryza sativa (Asian cultivated rice). RNAcentral's name for it is "partial microRNA MIR468n-5 precursor". Lineage: Eukaryota; Viridiplantae; Streptophyta; Magnoliopsida; Poales; Poaceae. The record is from RNAcentral.